Long non-coding RNA from Sander lucioperca (pikeperch), 674 nucleotides. RefSeq lists it as uncharacterized. The record is from RefSeq and is a predicted model, not a curated record. The transcript has 3 exons. NCBI's taxonomy places the organism in Eukaryota, Metazoa, Chordata, Actinopteri, Perciformes, Percidae.
CCAAGUCAGUGCGUGCCAUUUGCCCAACAAAAGCUGGGCCAAAUAUCCAGUGAAGAAAAUCUGGCUGUGUACAGAUUCCUACGCCAAAGCCAUGGAGAAAUGUCAGCGGCUGAUGGACGCAUCCAGCAUUGAGACGGAAGACGAUGCGAGCGUCCACAAAAGGCAGUGUAGAUGCCCAACGAGGUUCAUGGCAGAUUCUGCAAGUGAUGAUGAAUCCAUUCCACAACCAAAAAAACAUUCCAGGACGGAGUAUGUGUCUGGAAGCCCUGUCCGUAAGUUAACAUUUAUACAUACAUUUAAGAAACCAGAGUCAUAUUUCCUACCAUGGAAGUACUGACAUUCAACCUGGUGCAUAUCAUGUGACUGUUCUGACGUGUUUGUCUCUUCCUGCCUUUUUUUCAGGUCAGCAGAUGUCACUGUCUCCGCCACUUGCAUGUAAGUUUUUUUUUUUGUCUUUUGAUUGUCUAAUGUAACAGCAUAGGUUUAUCUUUUGCAAUAGCAUGUGCAAGAAACCUACCAUAAAUGAACUGACCGAUAUUCAUAUCUACUUUCUUUUUAGAUGAGUCAACACCAUACAGGAAACCAGCCGGUCGCUGGAUGGGUCUAUUCUGACGAAAGCUCGGCUUUCCACUUCUUGGGACCCAGUUGAAGGUACAGUGGCUUUGAAUGUUCCA